This 508-nucleotide ribosomal RNA is filed under the name uncultured bacterium. Its description in RNAcentral is "bacterial SSU rRNA". It matches the Rfam family "Bacterial small subunit ribosomal RNA", at positions 791 to 1297 of the family's 1533-position model. The record is from RNAcentral.
UAGUCCACGCCGUAAACGAUGAGCACUAGUUAUUGGAGGUAUUAACCCCUUCAGUAACGUAGCAAACGCAUUAAGUGCUCCGCCUGGGGAGUACGGUCGCAAGACUAAAACUCAAAGGAAUUGACGGGGGCCCGCACAAGCGGUGGAUUAUGUGGUUUAAUUCGAAGCAACGCGCAAAACCUUACCUGGGCUUGAAAUCUUAGGAACCUGCUAGAGAUAGCGGGGUGCCCUUCGGGGAAUCUAAUGACGGGCGCUGCAUGACUGUCGUCAGCUCGUGUUGUGAAAUGUUGGGUUAAGUCUCGCAACGAGCGCAACCCCUAUCUUCUGUUGCCAGCAUUAAGUUGGGCACUCUGGAGAGACUGCCUGGGUUAACCAGGAGGAAGGUGGGGAUGACGUCAAGUCCUCAUGGCCCUUAUGUCCAGGGCUACACACGUAAUACAAUGGAUAAUACAGAGGGAUGCGAACCAGCGAUGGGGAGCAAAUCUCAAAAAGUUAUUCUCAGUCCGGA